GUUGCAGAACAUAAGUGUUGGGAAAGGACCACUGGUGCUCCGCUCUGUGUAGGCUUUCUGUGCAAGGCGACAUGCUUGAUUGGAGGCAAAAUGUUUAACGCCAUCGUGAAGGAACACAAGUGUGUUGGGCCAGCAUUGAGCAGCUACUGCUACUGCUAUUUCUGCGACAAAUAG
Molecule: ribosomal RNA, 174 nt
Filed under: Triticum aestivum (bread wheat)
Lineage: Eukaryota; Viridiplantae; Streptophyta; Magnoliopsida; Poales; Poaceae
Description: partial small subunit ribosomal RNA
Source: RNAcentral